CGUGCAGGAUAUUGAAUUCAUAUCCUGAACUACUGUUGACCAGACAAACCAAAGCUCAUGCCCUGAGAAUGGUGGGCUGUCCAGAACAUGGAGCUAGUUACCUGCUCACUAUGACUAAUCAUUAAAGACUGAUAACUUGCUGUCCUUGGAAACUCUUUCUCGUGACCUUACAUCAUGAAAAUUCACCUUGCCUUAAAGAGGAAGUGAACCCCCCUGACCAGGAUGCUAUUAAAUCAAUUGGAGAAAAAGGAAUUCUUAUUAACAAGUAUAAAUGUCGCCUGAAUCUGAAGAGCAGCCCACCCAUGUUCAUCUUUAGUUUGUGACGCUGACGUCAACAGUGGCAGUUGCAUGUUAACCCAGUGC
Herpailurus yagouaroundi (jaguarundi) is the source of this 363-nucleotide long non-coding RNA. RefSeq lists it as uncharacterized. The record is from RefSeq and is a predicted model, not a curated record. NCBI's taxonomy places the organism in Eukaryota, Metazoa, Chordata, Mammalia, Carnivora, Felidae. The transcript is spliced from 3 exons.